GAGCUGUUUGCCUCUGGGACUCACCUUCCUUUAGAAUUUCACCAUGGGCCAGAUCCUUAUCCUCUUCAUUUUUCUCACUUACUUCUCAGGUAUGGUUUAUGUGGUCUAAUGGGCUAGCAACAAAGCUAUUUCUCUAUCUAGCACAGAAACAGAAUACGUUUGUGAUAUUAAGGAGCAAAGAAUGAUGCAUCGGUUUUUCUUUUUCUUUCUGCAAAGGUGUCGCUUCACAGCCGACAUUGACUCAGGCAGCCUCCGAGUCUGUCUCCCCGGGCCAAGCAAUUAAACUCUCCUGUUCUAAAAGUAGCGGUGGAAGCUGGGGCAACUUUCACUGGUAUCAACAGAAACCUGGCCAGGCUCCUCGCUUCGUGUUCUAUCAUACCAGCACCCGGGGAGAAGGGAUCCCAGAUCGGUUCACAGGUUCUUAUUCAGGGAACACAGGCUAUUUAACCAUCACCAACAUCCAGGCUGAAGAUGAGGCCGUUUAUUACUGUUGUGCUUAUGAGAGCUCUGGUAGCGCCCAGUUC
Molecule: non-coding RNA, 524 nt
Organism: Podarcis lilfordi (Lilford's wall lizard)
Lineage: Eukaryota; Metazoa; Chordata; Lepidosauria; Squamata; Lacertidae
Source: the annotation of a GenBank genome assembly